RNAcentral lists this ribosomal RNA (253 nucleotides) under uncultured bacterium. Its description in RNAcentral is "partial 16S ribosomal RNA". It matches the Rfam family "Bacterial small subunit ribosomal RNA", at positions 524 to 776 of the family's 1533-position model. The record is from RNAcentral.
UACAGAGGGGGCAAGCGUUGUUCGGAAUUACUGGGCGUAAAGGGCGCGUAGGCGGCCUGUUAAGUCGAACGUGAAAUCCCCGGGCUCAACCCGGGAACUGCGUCCGAUACUGGCAGGCUUGAAUCCGGGAGAGGGAUGCGGAAUUCCAGGUGUAGCGGUGAAAUGCGUAGAUAUUGGGAAGAACACCUGAGGCGAAGGCGGGUUGCUGGGCCGACACUGACGCUGAGGCGCGAAAGCCAGGGGAGCGAACGGG